ACUCCUGCGGGAGGCAGCAGUGGGGAAUAUUGCACAAUGGGCGCAAGCCUGAUGCAGCCAUGCCGCGUGUAUGAAGAAGGCCUUCGGGUUGUAAAGUACUUUCAGCGGGGAGGAAGGCAAUACGGUUAAUAACCGUGUUGAUUGACGUUACCCGCAGAAGAAGCACCGGCUAACUCCGUGCCAGCAGCCGCGGUAAUACGGAGGGUGCAAGCGUUAAUCGGAAUUACUGGGCGUAAAGCGCACGCAGGCGGUCUGUCAAGUCGGAUGUGAAAUCCCCGGGCUCAACCUGGGAACUGCAUUCGAAACUGGCAGGCUUGAGUCUUGUAGAGGGGGGUAGAAUUCCAGGUGUAGCGGUGAAAUGCGUAGAGAUCUGGAGGAAUACCGGUGGCGAAGGCGGCCCCCUGGACAAAGACUGACGCUCAGGUGCGAAAGCGUGGGGAGCAAACAGGAUUAGAAACCCGAGUAGUCCC
This 470-nucleotide ribosomal RNA is filed under the name uncultured organism. RNAcentral's name for it is "partial 16S ribosomal RNA". It matches the Rfam family "Bacterial small subunit ribosomal RNA", at positions 335 to 797 of the family's 1533-position model. The record is from RNAcentral.